UAUUUGGCUGUGACGCCCAUUCCAGGCUUUUAUCGCCCUAUCCCCUAGAGCUCAUCUGAGCCCUAAAAUGGCGGCGUUCGUACUGAGGGAAAGUACAGCUGGCGUACCAGGUGUGGAAAGCAGCCAAUGAACAAAUCUGAGGGAAGUACAGAAGCUCGCCAACUUUUGUUUUGUGAUGAAGACCUCUGGGCAUUGUAAUAUUAACAUUUGUUCUGGAAGCACAUUGUUCUGUUCAGAGGGGAUUUCCACAUCUGUUAUGAAAUAAGUACUUAAGAUAUACAAACAUACAAAGAAUAACACAAUGAGAGAUGCAAAAAAAAAAAAAAAUACAGUGAACCUCUGUUUUAUCAUCCAGACGUAAAAAUAAUACAUAACUAUGAUAGUUGAAGUUCUCUGCGUACCCAUUCCUGGAUUCAUCUCUUUUCUUCCUUCAUACCCAGAGAUUUCAUCCAUUUAUUUGUCAGAGAGAAAGAGCACAAGCAGGGGGAGCAGGCUCCUUGCUGAGCAAGGAGCCAAACGUGGGACUUCCUCCCAAGAUCCUGGCAUCAUGACCUGAGCUGAAGGCAGACGCUUAACCAACUGAGCCACCCACGUAUCCCAAAGACCAGAAGUUUUUUGAUGAAAUCCAUUUCAUAAAGUUUUUUUCUUAGAUGGCCUUCCAGUACAGUGUGGAAUGGGGUAGAGAGGACCCUGAGAUCAUGACCUGAGCUGAAAUUAAGAGUUGGAGGCUUAGCUGACUGAGCCACCCAGGUGAUUUUAUUAAAGCACGGGGACAGAACCCAUGGACAGAAAGAGCUGCUGCCUAGAUCUCUUAAAUCUAUCUUCUCCUGUGUGUCAUUCAAAGCCAUUGGUUCCUUGAUGUUGUUUAGAUGAUCUGUCCAUUGAUAACAGGAAGUGGGCAGGUAUUUCAGAUUUCACUACUGCUAUUCAGCUUAGCACUGGAAGUUCUACCCAGGACCGUAAGGGUGACUCCAUUUGUGCAGAUCUCAUGGCAACAAAUGUGGCUUAAUAUCCAGACAAGGCAUGCAUCUAGUCUACUUUGGAGUGAGAAAAAGAAGCCCUUUGGAGCUGGAGUAAUUUUAGAGAUGAGAGAGGUGAAGAAGGGGAUCUCCUUAUUUUGUAUAUGAACUGAAGCAGUUUCUUGAGCUCAUCUUCAAUGUGAACAUGUAUGAGAUAGUCCAAAAUAAAACAUAGAAAUAGCUUUUGGAAUUUAUAAUAUGAAGCCCCAUCCAUGUUACAGACUGAACUCAGAGAAUCAUAUGUGAGGUAGACCCAAAUCAUCAUGGUAAAGACUGAAAACUAGAUAUUGGAAACAAUUCUCAUAAAAGGGGAGAUCGAAGUUGUGGUCUGAACCUAACUGAAUUGAUUGCCUUUUUAAAAGGGCAUUCACACAUACAUUGUCCAGGAGAUUUUUAAAGAGAUCAGAUUCUUACAACAAAAUGUGCAAAAUGCCCAACAAUCCAAAAAUACAAAGAACUAGGGGAAAUACGUGACAAUGAAUAGGUGCCAGACACAGGAUAUUAGAGAUUUUGGAAUUAUCAUAGAGAUUUUAUUUUUAUUUAUUUUUUUAAGAUUUUAUUUGACAGCGAGAGAGGGAACACAAGCAGGGGGAGUGGGAGA
Molecule: long non-coding RNA, 1620 nt
Organism: Zalophus californianus (California sea lion)
Lineage: Eukaryota; Metazoa; Chordata; Mammalia; Carnivora; Otariidae
Exons: 8
Source: RefSeq, a predicted model, not a curated record